Molecule: long non-coding RNA, 413 nt
Organism: Solanum tuberosum (potato)
Lineage: Eukaryota; Viridiplantae; Streptophyta; Magnoliopsida; Solanales; Solanaceae
Exons: 3
Source: RefSeq, a predicted model, not a curated record
UAGAGAAUCAGAUUCCAAAAUCUAAUUUUGGAAGACGAUGAGAUAAGCUUCACAUACAAAUUUAUCGGUGCAGACGAGAUUCAACUAGACAACACACAUAGAUCCUACUUAUUCACAAGCAAUGAAGUCAUCAACUGGGAAAAAAAAAAGAUAUACUUUCAAGCCAUACAUUGGGCAGCUUCUCCAGGUCAUCCACCCCUCUCAUCGUGAUUUCUGUUCACCAAAAGGUUAUCCCCAUUGCAGAAAUUACAUCACAAACUUCUAUGAGUUUCACAGAUAUAUACACUUGCUCAACUUAUUCAUGGAAUAGAGUAAUAUAGACGUAAUUUUCAUUUUCCUCUGCAAUUGGAGUUCCCUACAUUGUGAUAAAAAUGCUAAUAUCAAAUGAUAUAGAAAAGUUUUGUGUACUGAAA